Molecule: non-coding RNA, 20 nt
Filed under: Mus musculus (house mouse)
Lineage: Eukaryota; Metazoa; Chordata; Mammalia; Rodentia; Muridae
Source: RNAcentral
UAGUUAAUUGGUGUGUUUGU